Long non-coding RNA from Tripterygium wilfordii, 445 nucleotides. RefSeq lists it as uncharacterized. Lineage: Eukaryota; Viridiplantae; Streptophyta; Magnoliopsida; Celastrales; Celastraceae. The transcript is spliced from 4 exons. The record is from RefSeq and is a predicted model, not a curated record.
CUCACUCUCCUCGCUUGAGAAUCAUGGCUAGAUCUAACAUCACUCGAAUAGCCUCAAAUCUAAGCUCCGGCUUCAUCUAUCCUCUCUCUCGACUUCAUUUGUAGCGCUCGUGAUUUUUUUGAGUUUCGUUUGGGUCUUCGCAAGUUAUUGGGGUGGUUGUUGAUGGCUUUACUUUUGUUUGGCAAUUAAGGUGGUGGUGGUUCGUGCUGAUGAUUAUGUUGAUUCAUGGGUGGUGAAGCAUCGGAUGUUAGUGCAAAAGAUUAUAAUAAAGCUGCGACCAGCAUGCCGAGCUUCGUUCCUCCAGUGAUUCCCUCUUAAAAUCCCAUAUGGGGUCUUAUUGCACUUGAAGCUCUUGAUCCUAACUGUGGAACCACAACAAUCCUAAAGUGAAAUUCUACUUUCUUUGGUAUGCUUCCUGCUGAUCAUAACUUGCCCUCCCAUUUUU